This 253-nucleotide ribosomal RNA is filed under the name uncultured bacterium. Its description in RNAcentral is "partial 16S ribosomal RNA". It matches the Rfam family "Bacterial small subunit ribosomal RNA", at positions 524 to 776 of the family's 1533-position model. The record is from RNAcentral.
GACGUAGGGCGCGAGCGUUGUCCGGAUUUAUUGGGCGUAAAGAGCUCGUAGGCGGCUUGUCGCGUCGUCUGUGAAAUCCCGCGGCUCAACCGCGGGUCUGCAGUCGAUACGGGCAGGCUAGAGUUCGGUAGGGGAGACUGGAAUUCCUGGUGUAGCGGUGAAAUGCGCAGAUAUCAGGAGGAACACCGGUGGCGAAGGCGGGUCUCUGGGCCGAUAUUGACGCUGAGGAGCGAAAGCGUGGGUAGCAAACAGG